Molecule: ribosomal RNA, 250 nt
Filed under: uncultured prokaryote
Description: partial 16S ribosomal RNA
Rfam family: Bacterial small subunit ribosomal RNA
Source: RNAcentral
UACGUAGGGCGCGAGCGUUGUCCGGAAUUAUUGGGCGUAAAGAGCUUGUAGGCGGUUUGUCGCGUCUGCUGUGAAAGACCGGGGCUUAACUCCGGUAUUGCAGUGGGUACGGGCUAACUAGAGUGCAGUAGGGGAGACUGGAAUUCCUGGUGCAGCGGUGAAAUGCGCAGAUAUCAGGAGGAACACCGAUGGCGAAGGCAGGUCUCUGGGCUGUAACUGACGCUGAGAAGCGAAAGCAUGGGGAGCGAAC